GACGAACGCUGGCGGCGUGCUUAACACAUGCAAGUCGAGCGGUAAGGCCCUUUCGGGGGUACGACGAGCGGCGAACGGGUGAGUAACACGUGGGUGACCUGCCCUCAGCUCUGGGAUAAGCCCGGGAAACUGGGUCUAAUACCGGAUAUGACUUCAUGACGCAUGUUGUGGAGUGGAAAGCCUUGUGCGGCUGAGGAUGGGCCCGCGGCCUAUCAGCUUGUUGGUGGGGUGAUGGCCUACCAAGGCGACGACGGGUAGCCGGCCUGAGAGGGCGGACCGGCCACACUGGGACUGAGACACGGCCCAGACUCCUACGGGAGGCGAGCAGUGGGGAAUAUUGCACAAUGGGCGAAAGCCUGAUGCAGCGACGCCGCGUGAGGGAUGACGGCCU
This 391-nucleotide ribosomal RNA is filed under the name uncultured bacterium. Its description in RNAcentral is "bacterial SSU rRNA". It matches the Rfam family "Bacterial small subunit ribosomal RNA", at positions 28 to 417 of the family's 1533-position model. The record is from RNAcentral.